RNAcentral lists this ribosomal RNA (424 nucleotides) under uncultured marine bacterium. Its description in RNAcentral is "bacterial SSU rRNA". It matches the Rfam family "Bacterial small subunit ribosomal RNA", at positions 359 to 804 of the family's 1533-position model. The record is from RNAcentral.
ACUAUUAACAACCAAACGUAAGCAUGAUCCCCCAUGCCGCGUGAGUGAUGAAGGCCUUAAGGUCAUAAAGCUCUUUCGCAUGUGAAGAUAAAACGGUAGCAGGUAAAGAAACCCCGGUUAACUCCCCCCAGCAGCCGCGGUAAUACGGAGGGGGUUAGUGUUGUUCGGAAUUACUGGGCGUAAAGCGCACGUAGGCGGACUGGAAAGUUGGGGGUGAAAUCCCAGGGCUCAACCCUGGAACUGCCUCCAAAACUAUCAGUGUAGAGUUCGAGAGAGGUGAGUGGAAUUCCGAGUGUAGAGGUGAAAUUUGUAGAUAUUAGGAGGAACACCAGUGGCGAAGGCGGCUCACUGGCUCGAUACUGACGCUGAGGUGCGAAAGUGUGGGGAGCAAACAGGAUUAGAUACCCUGGUAGUCCACACCGUA